AACGAACGCUGGCGGCAGGCUUAACACAUGCAAGUCGAGCGCCCCGCAAGGGGAGCGGCAGACGGGUGAGUAACACGUGGGAAUCUACCCAUCCCUACGGAACAACUCCGGGAAACUGGAGCUAAUACCGUAUACGCCCUUUGGGGGAAAGAUUUAUCGGGGAUGGAUGAGCCCGCGUUGGAUUAGCUAGUUGGUGGGGUAAAGGCCUACCAAGGCGACGAUCCAUAGCUGGUCUGAGAGGAUGAUCAGCCACAUUGGGACUGAGACACGGCCCAAACUCCUACGGGAGGCAGCAGUGGGGAAUAUUGGACAAUGGCGCAAGCCUGAUCCAGCCAUGCCGCGUGAAUGAUGAAGGCCUUAGGGUUGUAAAGUUCUUUCACCGAUGAAGAUAAUGACGGUAGUCGGAGAAGAAGCCCCGGCUAACUUCGUGCCAGCCGCCGCAGUAA
Molecule: ribosomal RNA, 446 nt
Filed under: uncultured bacterium
Lineage: Bacteria
Description: partial 16S ribosomal RNA
Rfam family: Bacterial small subunit ribosomal RNA
Source: RNAcentral